GUGAGAGGAGGGAGGACAACCAUCCCUCGCCAUUUUACGUCAAAGCUGAACUCAAUCAAGUAAGCUUCUGUCAGUCGCUGUGUUUGUGUACAGUGUUGUGAAAAAUUAUCUGUGUCGAUGAAUAUCAAUCGGAAAUUGUGUUGAUUACGACUCGAAACGAUGGGUCGAUUAUUGUGUUUGUGGCUCUGAUGCAUCAUUCUGUCUGUAAUGAUGGCCAAGUGUUUGAUGAAGUGAAGUGUUCUGUGUCGUAUGCUGGCCAGUAACAGCAACAGUGAGAUCCUUUCUCUGGAUAAAUCGUCCCCAAGACGACGUCGUAUAAUACAACGGCAAGGUGACGCACCAUGUCGGCGAAAAACAUCCCAGGAGAUAAGAUAAACCUGCGGCUGAUUCUGGUGUCCGGCAAGACGAAGGAGUUCGUGUUCAGUCCUGUUGACUCGGCGGGGGAUAUCGCGAUACACGUCUACGACAACUGGCCUGAAGCGGACUGGGCGACGGAAUGCGUGUCACGCGCCGAGAUCCUGCGGCUGAUAUACCAGGGUCGGUUCCUGCACAGCUCGGUGACGCUCGGCGCCCUCGGGCUGCAGCUCGGCCGCACCACCGUCAUGCACCUCGUGCCCCGCGAACACCUACCCGAGCCCAACUCCCACGAAGUUCGGUGGAGUUAACAUUAGCCUAAUCCCAGCACCCACCUAUCCUAUCCUUCCACCUGACUACCUCUAAUCAACGACAAAAGAGUAAAGGCGGCUCCAGCAGUUGUUGUUCAGCGUCUUGCUGCAUAUUGUAAUACCUUACCUCGUGGCGUGAAUAAGACGGAAAUAUGCGCACUGGGGGGAGUGAGUGAGACAGCCGACCGGCCGAUACGGACUCAAUGUGUUCAGUGAUGUAGAUUUGGAAACAGGCGCCCACCAGCGACACCUUGUGAUGUUUUUAAAUAAUGAUCGCAAAUCGAAUUAGACGAAAAUUAAAAUUGUAGAACAUCGACAUAAUAAUCGAAGGAUUUGGGUCUGCGCUCAAAUACUAAUAGAAGUCCCCGAAAACGCAAAAAGUCCACUACCUAUAAGCCAAAUGAAUAGGUACGUUUAUAUACGACAACUCGGUAGGUUUUUUUUGUGAUUUUGUAUUGGAUCCGACAUCCUUACAUUAUUAUGUCUAUGGUGUAGAAUCAAUAACUAAUUUAAUGUCAAUUUUUAUUAUCAUGAAAUUGCACAUAAUUGUAUAAAAAUUUCAAAUGUAAAACGCACACUAAGUCGACCGCUUUGUUUGAAAAUAUCGCAAGACUUCUAUAGAUACUCGUCGUCACUGUAUCAUUUGGUAAUUCUGAAUAGCUUUAUAAGCGACAUUGUAUAACUCACCGCGUAAGUUAUAUACCUAGAUCAAUAGGAACCAUGCUGCCGAGAUGUUAAAUUAGUAGGUAUUCGGGAUAAGACGAGAUAGGUACGUGGCGUGACGUCGCCGUGUGGGGGCGUGGUUAAGACGUGAUCACGUGACAACAGGCCGUAGUCCAACGUGAUAGCUAAACUCCCGCCCGUCUCACGGCGACUACAAAUCCUUAGUAUUAUAAUUUAGGCCAUCAUAUGAAUUUAUAUAACGUUACUAUGGAGAUAUUUAUAAAAUUUAAAAUGACAAAUUAAGUAGUGAAAACGAAAGGAGUGCAAACCGCUCUGAUUUGCUGUAAAUAGUAUGUUAAAUUUGAUAAUUUAAUAAGGACACGUUUUCGGGGCUAUUGUUUUGUGAUAAGUUCUUGCAAUAUAUUGGGAUCUUUUUUUUAUAUUUUAUUAUUUAAAAAUGCUAUUUACUGCGCUAGAUGUAGUCUGUAAUCGUAAUGGAAUUAUAACGGAAAAUAAGAUGGAAUGAUUACUAUUCCAUGAACACGGCGACUGUCUGAUGUGAAUUGGAGGCUGGAUAAAUUUUAGUUUUAACGCACUAGUGUAAUUCUGUAAAUUUACAAGUCUCGCUUACAAUUCUGUACGUAUACGCCUGUAAGAAGGGAGAGUGCACAGUACCUACGAAUUUAUUUGCUGUAUGACGCAUGACGCGGCUUCGACUCGAAUCCAAUGCAAACUCAAUUACACUACAAUAUCUACAGCGUUACCACAACCCCGACCCUUCUGUAAAUAUUAUAACAUAGAUCUUUUUAUUUUAUAUUGUUAUUUUUACAUCACACAUAGAAAGCCUAAUUUAUAAAUUUCAUUUGGCAUUUUAUAUCGUAGCGAUAAAAUAUUUCGUUUAUUGGCUUUAGGAUGAAUGACUGUGGAUAUUUUUGUUGUAAUUUUAUGAGGUCAUCCAAAAGUUACGGAGUUGCCGCUAACAAUUUUUUUGUUGUGGCACGAAAUAUUUAGAGAUAGUACAAAUAAAAUUUAUUUACUCCAUGGAUUUUAUGUUCAGUGAUAUAGUUCACAUUUCUAACAGUAUUAAGAGAAAUAUCAAACGACUCGUGCAUUACAUCGGCUGGUGCUCCAACUGUUUCGGUCUUGUAACACAGAGCAGUACAUAUACAGAGUGAAAGCUUUCAGCCAGUGCUCACUCUGAAAGCUUAAACCGUUACAUAGCAACGUAAUUAUGAUUAGGACUGUCGACAUCACUAGGUUUAUAUUUUUCAUGUUCUUCAUGUUCUUAUAAUCACGUCGACCAAUAUCACUUUCCAAGUUUACACUCUGUAUAGUAUGUAGUUCCCUGUGGUUGUAUUACAAGGCAGAACUCGACUGAUUGUGAGAAUCUUGCCAUUCAUCGUAUUUGGGAGUACUGUAAGGGGCCGAUGAUGCGGUCGUGUAUUGUAUCUCAAUGGAACGUAACUACUCCGUAUGAAUGAUUUAUAUUUGGUUGCUCUAUUUAGUUGCUGUAUGUAUGUAUUUUGUUAAGUUGUGUAAAAUACCUAGUUUAUAAAUAAAAUUAAUGCAAAUUA
RNA transcript from Achroia grisella, 2902 nucleotides. It is a transcript of the gene named ubiquitin-like protein 3, with no coding region annotated. Lineage: Eukaryota; Metazoa; Arthropoda; Insecta; Lepidoptera; Pyralidae. The transcript has 5 exons. The record is from RefSeq and is a predicted model, not a curated record.